CUCCGGUCACUCUCUCUGGCCCUCUCCCUCCCUGGGGGCAGCUGCUCUCAGCCCUCCCUGCCCCCACAUCGCCAUCCUGCCUGUCCUUCUGGGCCUGCACGUUUGUUGUGUUUGGAAGGAGCCACCAAGGAGGAGGAUGUCAAUGUGCAAGUUCUCAGGGAAGCAGGCCCCGCAGCCUCCGUCAGUGUCUUCCGUCCGCAGGAAGAACCCAGGCCUGGGUGAUUCAUCGGGGCCUCAGGGCCGGGAGGCACUAAAUCUUCUGCAGAUGUGGUGGUGUGGGCUGUGUGGAUUUCGGAUGUGGGCCCAUAACAUAGCCACACUGCUGCAAAGCAAGUGAGUCUGAGGCAAGAAGAAGGCCCAACCUUGGGAGGCUGACCUGGAGGGCAGGCAGAGGCAGGUGGUAAGGACCUGCCUUACCUGUUGAGGUGACAGUGGGGGACAUAUUGCAAGGAAGGAGGCCCUGGAUCCUCAGGAUGUGGAUGGUGGGUAGAAGGGUGACAGCUAAUGGAUGUCCACCUGCACAGAUGCCCACCUGCAUGAGUGCCCACCUGCAUGAGUGCCCACUUGUACCAAUGUCCACCUGUACAGAUGUCCACAUGCAAAUGCCCAUCUGCACUGAUAUCCACCUGCACAGAUGCCUACCUGCAUGAAUACCCACUUGCCUGAAAGCCCACCUGCACCCAUGUCCACUGGCACAAAUGCCCACCUGCACCCGUGUCCACUGGCACAAAUGCCCACCUGCACAGAAGCCCACCCACACAAAUGCCCACCUGCAAAAAUGUCCGCCUGCACAGAUGUCCACCUGCAUGAAUGCCCACCUGUGUCCACAUGCACGAAUACCCACCUGCACAGAUGCCCACCUGCACGGAUGCCCACCUGUACAAAGGCCUACCUGCGUGAAUGUCCACCUGCAUGGAUGCCCACCCGCACGGAUGCCCACCUGCACAGUUAUCCAUCUGAACAGCCCUCUGGUGCCUCCUUUUGCUUGCACAUGUUCAAAUCCUCCCAGUCCUACAGUCGAUUGUUCCUAGUUGGGGUCAUUCUGGGCAUGUUAUUCUAAAACUUGUUUUUUCCCGUCUCCACAUCAAAGGAGAAAGGUCUAGCUUGCUUCUUUGCUAUAGAGCAGGGCCUGAGUGAGGUCAGGACCACAGAGCAGACCCUAUGAGUGUUGGUCAGGACACAGAGCAGGACCCCUUCAGGGUCUGGAAGAGGGUUCCCCAAGCUCCUGUUCAACCUGAGUGAGAGGCUCAGGCUGCCCCCAACACACUGCACAGAAAAAUGGGCCAUUGAUUCAGAGCCACCCACGCUAACAGCAGUUCAGCUGCAGCCCUCCGGCAGGCAGGUCCUGGGAACACUAGGAACCUGAGACCCUGUCCCUUCCUGAUAGCGGGGUGUGGUGACAUGAGGAGAGACUGGGUACCUCCAUUCUGCUCAUGAAAGUCACAGAGGGGACCGGGGACCCCAGGCCCCUAGCGAUACCAGCACCCCACACAAUGCCUUUCUGGGAUACACCCCCCCAACAUGGCCUGCCCAAGGCAUCAGGAGCUGUGUAGAGGAGUCAGCUGGGGGUGGCAGAGCCCCAGGGAACAAUCAUGGGUCGCUGGCAGAUAAGCCAUGCGCCCACACAGCACAGGCCCUCACCCCUGCAGCUGGGGGAGCCCUCCUUGGGAGCGGGCCCAGGAUCCGGGCAAAAUGACACAGACCGGAUCCAGGAGCAGACUGAGCAAAAGUGGCAAAAGUAUUCUCCAGGUUAAGGGAAUAUUUUCACCAAUUGAGAGACCAGCUGUCCCUCCAGACCCAAGGGUUCCACAUCCCUGGAGGCAACCAAGCCAGAUGCAAAAUAUUUGAAAAAGAAAAAUGAAAAAAAGAACAAUACAGCAAUAAAAA
Molecule: long non-coding RNA, 1887 nt
Filed under: Homo sapiens (human)
Lineage: Eukaryota; Metazoa; Chordata; Mammalia; Primates; Hominidae
Description: long non-coding RNA NONHSAT082498.2
Source: RNAcentral